GUGGGGAAUCUUCCGCAAUGGACGAAAGUCUGACGGAGCAACGCCGCGUGAGUGAUGAAGGUCUUCGGAUUGUAAAGCUCUGUUAAUCGGGACGAAAGAGCCUAGUGUGAAUAAUGCUAGGAAGUGACGGUACCGGAAUAGAAAGCCACGGCUAACUACGUGCCAGCAGCCGCGGUAAUACGUAGGUGGCAAGCGUUGUCCGGAAUUAUUGGGCGUAAAGCGCGCGCAGGCGGAUCUGCCAGUCUGUCUUAAAAGUUCGGGGCUUAACCCCGUGAUGGGAUGGAAACUACAGAUCUAGAGUAUCGGAGAGGAAAGUGGAAUUCCUAGUGUAGCGGUGAAAUGCGUAGAUAUUAGGAAGAACACCAGUGGCGAAGGCGACUUUCUGGACGAAAACUGACGCUGAGGCGCGAAAGCCAGGGGAGCGAACGGGAUUAGAUACCAGUGUAGUCC
RNAcentral lists this ribosomal RNA (450 nucleotides) under uncultured bacterium. RNAcentral describes it as "partial 16S ribosomal RNA". It matches the Rfam family "Bacterial small subunit ribosomal RNA", at positions 354 to 796 of the family's 1533-position model. The record is from RNAcentral.